AUUGAACGCUGGCGGCACGCCUUACACAUGCAAGUCGAACGGCAGCGGGGACUUCGGUCCGCCGGCGAGUGGCGAACGGGUGAGUAAUGUAUCGGAACGUACCAUUGAGUGGGGGAUAACGUAGCGAAAGUUACUCUAAUACCGCAUAUUCUCUCCGGAGGAAAGCAGGGCAACGCAAGGCCUCGCGCUCUUUGAGCGGCUGAUAUCAGAUUAGCUAGUUGGUGAGGUAAAGGCUCACCAAGGCGACGAUCUGUAGCGGGUCUGAGAGGAUGAUCCGCCACACUGGAACUGAGACACGGCCCAGACUCCUACGGGAGGCAGCAGUGGGGAAUUUUGGACAAUGGGGGCAACCCUGAUCCAGCCAUGCCGCGUGAGUGAAGAAGGCCUUCGGGUUGUAAAGCUCUUUCGGCCGGGAAAAAAUCGCAUGGGCUAAUACCCUGUGUGGAUGAUGGUACCGGAAUAAGAAGCACCGGCUAACUACGUGCCAGCAGCCGCCGCGG
RNAcentral lists this ribosomal RNA (500 nucleotides) under uncultured bacterium. Its description in RNAcentral is "partial 16S ribosomal RNA". It matches the Rfam family "Bacterial small subunit ribosomal RNA", at positions 30 to 523 of the family's 1533-position model. The record is from RNAcentral.